ACUAAUCAAUCAUUCCAUUCAUUAAUCAACCAACUAAUCAAUCAAUUCAUUCAUUAAUCAACCAACUAAUCAAUCAUUCCAUUCAUUAAUCAACCAACUAAUCAAUCAAUUAAUUCAUUAAUCAACCAACUAAUCAAUCAAUUCAUUCAUUAAUCAACCAACUAAUCAAUCAAUCAAUUAAUUAAUCAACCAACUAAUCAAUCCAUUCAUUCAUUAAUCAACCAACUAAUCAAUCAAUUCAUUCAUUAAUCAACCAACUAGUCAAUCAAUUAAUUCAUUAAUCAACCAACUAAUCAAUCCAUUCAUUCAUUAAUCAACCAACUAAUCAAUCAGCCAACCAACUAAUCAAUCAAUUAAUUCAUUAAUCAAUCAACCAACUAAUCAAUCAAUUAAUUCAUUAAUCAACCAACUAAUCAAUCAAUCAAUUCAUUAAUCAACCAACUAAUCAAUCAGCCAACCAACUAAUCAAUCAAUUAAUUCAUUAAUCAAUCAACCAACUAAUCAAUCAAUUCAUUCAUUAAUCAACCAACCAACUAAUCAAUCAAUCAAUUCAUUAAUCAACCAACUAAUCAAUCAAUUCAUUAAUCAAUCAACCAACUAAUCAAUCAAUUCAUUCAUUAAUCAACCAACGAAUCAAUCAAUUCAUUCAUUAAUCAACCAAACAACUAAUCAAUCAAUUCAUUCAUUAAUCAACCAACUAAUCAAUCAAUUCACCCUCCUGUAGGUUUUAACUCCAACCCUGUUCCUGGAGAGAAACCCUCCUGUAGGUUUUAACUCCAACCCUGUUCCUGGAGAGAGAAACCCUCCUGUAGGUUUUAACUCCAACCCUGUUCCUGGAGAGAAACCCUCCUGUAGGUUUUAACUCCAACCCUGUUCCUGGAGAGAAACCCUCCUGUAGGUUUUAACUCCAACCCUGUUCCUGGAGAGAAACCCUCCUGUAGGUUUUAACUCCAACCCUGUUCCUGGAGAGAAACCCUCCUGUAGGUUUUAACUCCAACCCUGUUCCUGGAGAGAAACCCUCCUGUAGGUUUUAACUCCAACCCUGUUCUUGGAGAGAAACCCUCCUGUAGGUUUUAACUCCAACCCUGUUCCUGGAGAGAAACCCUCCUGUAGGUUUUAACUCCAACCCUGUUCCUGGAGAGAAACCCUCCUGUAGGUUUUAACUCCAACCCUGUUCCUGGAGAGAAACCCUCCUGUAGGUUUUAACUCCAACCCUGUUCCUGGAGAGAAACCCUCCUGUAGGUUUUAACUCCAACCCUGUUCCUGGAGAGAGACCCUCCUGUAGGUUUUAACUCCAACCCUGUUCCUGGAGAGAAACCCUCCUGUAGGUUUUAACUCCAACCCUGUUCCUGGAGAGAAACCCUCCUGUAGGUUUUAACUCCAACCCUGUUCCUGGAGAGAGACCCUCCUGUAGGUUUUAACUCCAACCCUGUUAGCUGAUUUAGAUGGUUAGCUGAUUUAGAUGGUUAGCUGAUUUUAAGUGGUUAGCUGAUUUUAAGUGGUGAGCUGAUUUUAGAUGGUUACAUGGUUAGCUGAUUUAGUUGGUUAGCUGAUUUAGAUGGUUAGCUGAUUUAGAUGGUUAGCUGGUUAGCUGAUUUAGAUGGUUAGCUGAUUUAGAUGGUUAGCUGAUUUAGAUGGUUAGCUGAUUUAGAUGGUUAGCUGAUUUAGAUGGUUAGAUGGUUAGUUGAUUUAGAUGGUUAGCUGAUUUAGAUGGUUAGCUGAUUUAGAUGGUUAGCUGAUUUAGAUGGUUAGCUGAUUUUAGAUGGUUAGUUGAUUUAGAUGGUUAGCUGAUUUAGAUGGUUAGUUGAUUUAGAUGGUUAGCUGAUUUAGAUGGUUAGCUGAUUUAUAUGGUUAGCUGAUUAGAUGGUUAGCUGAUUAGAUGGUGGAUGGUUAGCUGAUUAGAUGGUAGAUGGUUAGCUGAUUAGAUGGUUCGCUGAUUAGAUGGUGGAUGGUUAGCUGAUUAGCUGAUUAGAUGGUUAGCUGAUUAAGAUGGUUAGCUGAUUAGAUGGUUAGCUGAUUAGAUGGUUAGCUGAUUAGAUGUUUAGCUGAUUUAGAUGGUGGAUGAUUAGUUGAUUAGAUGUUUAGCUGAUUUAGAUGGUUAGCUGAUUAGAUGGUUAGUUGAUUUAGAUGGUUAGCUGAUUAGAUGGUUAGCUGAUUUAGAUGGUGGAUGGUUAGCUGUGUUAGAUGGUUAGUUGAUUAGAUGUUUAGCUGAUUAGAUGGUGGAUGGUUAGCUGAUUAGAUGUUUAGCUGAUUUAUAUGGUGGAUGGUUAGCUGAUUAGAUGUUUAGCUGAUUUAGAUGGUGGAUGGU
Long non-coding RNA from Oncorhynchus keta (chum salmon), 2308 nucleotides. RefSeq lists it as uncharacterized. The record is from RefSeq and is a predicted model, not a curated record. NCBI's taxonomy places the organism in Eukaryota, Metazoa, Chordata, Actinopteri, Salmoniformes, Salmonidae. The transcript has 3 exons.